Haemorhous mexicanus (house finch) is the source of this 1680-nucleotide long non-coding RNA. RefSeq lists it as uncharacterized. The transcript has 2 exons. The record is from RefSeq and is a predicted model, not a curated record. Lineage: Eukaryota; Metazoa; Chordata; Aves; Passeriformes; Fringillidae.
GCCCCGCGCGCCGGGGGCUGCGGCGGGCGGCACCGGGAGGCCGCGGGUUCGAGACCCGCCCGCGCCCCGCCGGGACCCGGUUCGAGACCAGCCCCGGGGCGGCAGGGACGCGGUCUCCAGCUGCUCCGGGGAGCUCCCGGCUGGACACGAGGAGCGAUUUCUGCAUGGAAAGGGUGGUGAGACACUGAGGGGGCAGUGACCAGCCCCGGAGCUCUCGGGACCAAGCCCUUUCAGGUUGCCAACAACGGGACUCUUCAAGCCUAGGGAGACACAAUUAAUUCCUGAGGCUGGACAGAACUACACCAGGAAUGUCAAGCUCUUCAUUCUGAAGCUAUAAAAUCCCUGGGGAAUUAGACUCUCUUUUCUCAGAGGGAGACCUGUACUGUGAAGCUCUUGGAAGCCCAAACAUGAAAACACUCUCGGAACAGCUGACAGCCAAGCUACAGCUCAGAAGUUUAGCCCUCCACGCAACCUCCAUUUGGGAUUCCAUCUCUUGGGUGACUAAGGGCAGGGAGAAGCCUCUGGGAGAAUGUCUGGUUGGCUCCACAUCCAUCCUGUUUAACCAGAAGCAGGUGUUCAGCCAGCCAAAACACUCUGAGCAUGCCAUGUGCCAUCCACACAGAGAGGACAGUUCACCACACAAACUGCAGUGUUUUCCCUAGCAGUAACACCAGGAUUUGGCCACUCAAAACUGGUACUUACUGCAUCCACAGUAGCUUUUGCACAGUCUUGACUACAGCAGAAGGGGCUGUCAGACACUGUCAGGUUGGUGCUGGAAGACAUGGGGCACUUGUGAGAAGGUGCAAGCCCAGCCUCCCCCCAGGAGCAUUAAAUAAUGGAACAUGAAGGGUCUCAGGUGCCAGGUGGAGGGGGAAGGCCUGGGGAGGCAGCCAGCAGAUAACAGAAAGCAUGGCACCCCUCAGGAAGGGAUGUUCCAGGGCUUUUAGUUUAGGGAAGAGGAAGGGGCGCAUUGCCACAAGCAUUAACCUACCAGUUGAUCUCCCCUCCAUCAGUUUUCUUUGUUAUUAAAGCUUUCCAGUGUUCGUGGGUGCCUCUGAUGACAUCCAGGGCAAAAUCCUGAAGUUGGAGAUGAGAACAAACAUCAUGCCAUGUGGAAGCACCAGACCACCUUCUCCAGACCAUCACUCACAAGGAGCUGAUUUUAGGCUGGAAGAAACCUCUUCCUCUCCAGUGCUGUUCAAGAAGAGCAGAAACUCCCAGCACACAACAGCUGCAAUAACCAGGAUUGUGCAGCAGAAUUGUUUUGCUUUCAAGAUGGGAGAAUCUGCCAAGGUCACAGAGCAAGCUUGGGGCCAAAAGAAACUGAACACAGUCUCGGGCCAGUGCUCCAUUCUAGAAACACCUCCACCCUGCUGCUCCUCCCACUCGGUUUGUCUCCAGCAGCUGCUGAUCCAGGCCUGUCCAGGAGCUCUCUCCACUCCAGGCAAACAAUUCAGACCAGCAGGAAUAGACAUGUAGCUGAUCUGGCUUUGCAACUACUUAGAAAUGAAUUUGUUUCCAGGCAGAUCAACCUCUUCCCUUAAAAAGGAGCAAUAUAUGCUCAAGCAUUAACCUGUCAGCUGGAGAAGGAAACACACACAGUUCACUGCUGGUGUGAACACUAGCAGUUAAACUCCUGAGUCUGAUACCAAACUGAGCCAAAUAAAACACUGCAGAGCA